UAAAUUAACGUUGAGAUAGGGGGGCCGAGUACCUAUAAAUCUGGGGAAUACUUGCGUUCGCAUCGCUAAUUACGUAGCAUCGCUCGAUCGUUAGGGGGGGCCAGGCCCCUGCUCAUAAUUUUCAUAAUAGAAUCCUCAUGUUCCCGGGCCUUGUACACACCGCCCGUCACACUAUAGGAGCUGGCCAUAUUUGAAGUCAUUACCCUUAACCGUAAGGAGGGGGAUGCCUAAGGCUAGGCUUGCGACUGGAGUGAAGUCGUAACAAGGUAGCCGUACUGGAAGGUGCGGCUGGAUCACCUCCUUU
This 304-nucleotide non-coding RNA is filed under the name Triticum aestivum (bread wheat). Its description in RNAcentral is "Bacterial small subunit ribosomal RNA". It matches the Rfam family "Bacterial small subunit ribosomal RNA", at positions 1263 to 1533 of the family's 1533-position model. Lineage: Eukaryota; Viridiplantae; Streptophyta; Magnoliopsida; Poales; Poaceae. The record is from Rfam by way of RNAcentral.